Molecule: ribosomal RNA, 1903 nt
Filed under: Salmonella enterica subsp. enterica serovar Bovismorbificans
Lineage: Bacteria; Pseudomonadati; Pseudomonadota; Gammaproteobacteria; Enterobacterales; Enterobacteriaceae
Description: partial 23S ribosomal RNA
Rfam family: Bacterial large subunit ribosomal RNA
Source: RNAcentral
GACCGAUAGUGAACCAGUACCGUGAGGGAAAGGCGAAAAGAACCCCGGCGAGGGGAGUGAAAAAGAACCUGAAACCGUGUACGUACAAGCAGUGGGAGCCCCACCACUAAGCCAGUGGUGAACUCCACAUACGCAUCCUUUGCUGAGGAUACGGUUAACGGAGCGAAAGCGACGUUCAACCUCAAAAGAAGCAGAGGGGGCUUAGUGGUGGGGUGACUGCGUACCUUUUGUAUAAUGGGUCAGCGACUUAUAUUCUGUAGCAAGGUUAACCGAAUAGGGGAGCCGGAGGGAAACCGAGUCUUAAUUGGGCGUUAAGUUGCAGGGUAUAGACCCGAAACCCGGUGAUCUAGCCAUGGGCAGGUUGAAGGUUGGGUAACACUAACUGGAGGACCGAACCGACUAAUGUUGAAAAAUUAGCGGAUGACCUGUGGCUGGGGGUGAAAGGCCAAUCAAACCGGGAGAUAGCUGGUUCUCCCCGAAAGCUAUUUAGGUAGCGCCUCGUGAAUUCAUCUCCGGGGGUAGAGCACUGUUUCGGCUAGGGGGCCAUCCCGGCUUACCAACCCGAUGCAAACUGCGAAUACCGGAGAAUGUUAUCACGGGAGACACACGGCGGGUGCUAACGUCCGUCGUGAAGAGGGAAACAACCCAGACCGCCAGCUAAGGUCCCAAAGUCAUGGUUAAGUGGGAAACGAUGUGGGAAGGCCCAGACAGCCAGGAUGUUGGCUUAGAAGCAGCCAUCAUUUAAAGAAAGCGUAAUAGCUCACUGGUCGAGUCGGCCUGCGCGGAAGAUGUAACGGGGCUAAACCAUGCACCGAAGCUGCGGCAGCGAACGUAUCACUUAAAGCGAUUCAGCGGGUUACGAUUGACGGAGCGAAGCGACGUCAAAGCGUAUACAAAGUCGAGUCGGUUUAAGGAUACGUUCGUUGGGUAGGGGAGCGUUCUGUAAGCCUGCGAAGGUGGCCUGUGAGGGUUGCUGGAGGUAUCAGAAGUGCGAAUGCUGACAUAAGUAACGAUAAAGCGGGUGAAAAGCCCGCUCGCCGGAAGACCAAGGGUUCCUGUCCAACGUUAAUCGGGGCAGGGUGAGUCGACCCCUAAGGCGAGGCCGAAAGGCGUAGUCGAUGGGAAACGGGUUAAUAUUCCCGUACUUGGUGUUACUGCGAAGGGGGGACGGAGAAGGCUAUGUUGGCCGGGCGACGGUUGUCCCGGUUUAAGCGUGUAGGCUGGUUUUCCAGGCAAAUCCGGAAAAUCAAGGCUGAGGCGUGACGACGAGGCACUACGGUGCUGAAGCAACAAAUGCCCUGCUUCCAGGAAAAGCCUCUAAGCAUCAGGUAACAUCAAAUCGUACCCCAAACCGACACAGGUGGUCAGGUAGAGAAUACCAAGGCGCUUGAGAGAACUCGGGUGAAGGAACUAGGCAAAAUGGUGCCGUAACUUCGGGAGAAGGCACGCUGACAUGUAGGUGAAGUGAUUUACUCAUGGAGCUGAAGUCAGUCGAAGAUACCAGCUGGCUGCAACUGUUUAUUAAAAACACAGCACUGUGCAAACACGAAAGUGGACGUAUACGGUGUGACGCCUGCCCGGUGCCGGAAGGUUAAUUGAUGGGGUCAGCGCAAGCGAAGCUCCUGAUCGAAGCCCCGGUAAACGGCGGCCGUAACUAUAACGGUCCUAAGGUAGCGAAAUUCCUUGUCGGGUAAGUUCCGACCUGCACGAAUGGCGUAAUGAUGGCCAGGCUGUCUCCACCCGAGACUCAGUGAAAUUGAACUCGCUGUGAAGAUGCAGUGUACCCGCGGCAAGACGGAAAGACCCCGUGAACCUUUACUAUAGCUUGACACUGAACAUUGAGCCUUGAUGUGUAGGAUAGGUGGGAGGCUUUGAAGUGUGGACGCCAGUCUGCAUGGAGCCG